AACGAACGCUGGCGGCAUGCCUAACACAUGCAAGUCGAACGAGAACUUCGGGUCUAGUGGCGCACGGGUGCGUAACGCGUGGGAACCUGCCCUUAGGUUCGGAAUAACUCCCCGAAAGGGGUGCUAAUACCGGAUAAUGUCUUCGGACCAAAGAUUUAUCGCCUUUGGAUGGGCCCGCGUUGGAUUAGCUAGUUGGUAGGGUAAAAGCCUACCAAGGCGACGAUCCAUAGCUGGUCUGGGAGGAGGAUCAGCCACACUGGGACUGAGGCACGGCCCAGACUCCGACGGAGGGCAGCAGUGUGGAGUAUUGGACAAUGAGCGAAAGCCUAGUCCAGCAAUGCCGCGUAAGUGAGGAAGGCCUUAGGGUUGUAAAUCUCUUUUACCCGGGAUGAUAAUGACGGUACCGGGUGAAUAAGCUCCGGCUAACUCCGUG
This 433-nucleotide ribosomal RNA is filed under the name uncultured bacterium. RNAcentral describes it as "partial 16S ribosomal RNA". It matches the Rfam family "Bacterial small subunit ribosomal RNA", at positions 29 to 507 of the family's 1533-position model. The record is from RNAcentral.